UACGGAGGAUUCGAGCGUUGUCCGGAUUUAUUGGGUUUAAAGGGUGCGUAGGCGGAUUAUUAAGUCAGAGGUGAAAGCCGACAGCUCAACUGUCGAAUUGCCUUUGAAACUGAUAAUCUUGAAUAUAGUUGAGGUAGGCGGAAUGUGACAUGUAGCGGUGAAAUGCGCAGAUAUCAGGAGGAACACCGGUGGCGAAGGCGGGUCUCUGGGCCGAUACUGACGCUGAGGAGCGAAAGCGUGGGGAGCGAACAGG
This 253-nucleotide ribosomal RNA is filed under the name uncultured bacterium. Its description in RNAcentral is "partial 16S ribosomal RNA". It matches the Rfam family "Bacterial small subunit ribosomal RNA", at positions 524 to 776 of the family's 1533-position model. The record is from RNAcentral.